ACCCGCACAAGCGGUGGAUGAUGUGGUUUAAUUCGAUGCAACGCGAAAAACCUUACCUACCCUUGACAUGUCAAGAAUUUUGCAGAGAUGUGAAAGUGCUCGAAAGAGAACUUGAACACAGGUGCUGCAUGGCCGUCGUCAGCUCGUGUCGUGAGAUGUUGGGUUAAGUCCCGCAACGAGCGCAACCCUUGUCAUUAGUUGCUACCGCAAGGAGCACUCUAAUGAGACUGCCGGUGACAAACCGGAGGAAGGUGGGGAUGACGUCAGGUCCUCAUGGCCCUUAUGGGUAGGGCUACACACGUCAUACAAUGGCCGGUACAGAGGGCUGCCAACCCGCGAGGGGGAGCCAAUCCCAGAAAACCGGUCGUAGUCCGGAUCGUAGUCUGCAACUCGACUGCGUGAAGUCGGAAUCGCUAGUAAUCGCGGAUCAGCUUGCCGCGGUGAAUACGUUCCCGGGUCUU
RNAcentral lists this ribosomal RNA (461 nucleotides) under uncultured Aquabacterium sp. RNAcentral's name for it is "bacterial SSU rRNA". It matches the Rfam family "Bacterial small subunit ribosomal RNA", at positions 919 to 1382 of the family's 1533-position model. The record is from RNAcentral. Lineage: Bacteria; Pseudomonadati; Pseudomonadota; Betaproteobacteria; Burkholderiales; Sphaerotilaceae.